This 3096-nucleotide long non-coding RNA is filed under the name Sus scrofa (pig). RNAcentral's name for it is "lncRNA (ENSSSCG00005035820.1)". Lineage: Eukaryota; Metazoa; Chordata; Mammalia; Artiodactyla; Suidae. The record is from RNAcentral.
UUUUUUCUUUUUUUUUUUUUUUAGCCUAUGGAGGUUCCCAGUCUAGGGGUCUAACUGGAGCUGUGGCUGCCGGCCUACACCACAGCCAUAGCAAUGCGGGAUCGGAACCAUGUCUGUGAUCUACACCACACCUCACGGCAACACCAGAUCCGUAACCCACUGAAGAAGGCCAGGGAUCAAACCCGCGUCCUCAUGGAUACUCGUCAGGUUCAUUAACCACUGAGCCACGAUGGGAACUCCUAUCCUUUGUUUUCUUUCACGUGCUCUUUGCCUGACACACACUCAGGCCUACCCUCUCCCACAUUCAUCCCUGGCACCCACACAUUCACACUCAAGACACACACACACACACACACACACACACACACACCCCUUCACAUUCAGAUACUCACACAUAUUGCCCUUUGUCAGGUUUUGUGCUGUGGUCUGUCUAAAGACAACCAGGGCAGACAGGAGGGUGGGAGGUUGGAGAUAAAAGAGAAAGCAAAGGGGGAGUUCCCGUCAUGGCUCAGUGGUUAACGAAUCCGACUAGGAACCAUGAGGGUGCAGGUUCAAUCCCUGGCCUCGCUCAGUGGGUUAAGGAUCCGGCAUUGCCGCAACCUGUGGUGUAGGUUGCAGAUGUGGCUCAGAUCUGGCGUUGCUGUGGCUGUGGUGUAGCCCGGAGGCUACAGCUCCAAUUGGACCGCCAGCCUGGGAACCUCCAUAUGCCGCCGCGGGUUCGGCCCUAAAAAGACAAAAAGACAAAAAAGAGAGAGAGAAAAGCAAAGGGGGCCAUGCUACUUGGAGAUGGUUCUGCAGCCCAGCUCCCCACUCCCUGCCUCGACAGCAAGACACUCAAGUGUUGUGGUUUCGAGAUGAACUAUGACAUGGACAAGGCCCAGAAAAAGUGCUUGUCACAUUAGCUAGCUGGUUGCUCUUUUUCUUUAAAUGAGAAAAACCACAAAACACAAUAACAAAAACAUGUAUAUGAACCAUGGAAACAACUUUAUUACAUAGAACCAUUUUCAUAAUUUUUGUUACAGUGGGACUUUACCUUAUGCAGUUGAGAAAUAAAUGGGAAUGAAAAGUUCCACCACAUAAGCAUAUGGUUAUUAGGCUCUUCAAGAAUGGUAUACAUAGUUCCCGUCGUGGCGCAGUGGUUAACGAAGCCGACUAGGAACCAUGAGGUUGCGGGUUCGGUCCCUGGCCUUGCUCAGUGGGUUAAGGGUCCGGCGUUGCCCUGAGCUGUGGUGAGGGUCGAAGACGCGGCUUGGAUCCCGUGUUGCUGUGGCUCUGGCGCUCCUAUUUGACCCCUAGCCUGGGAACUUCCAUAUGCCACGGGAGCGGCCCCAGAAAAGGCAAAAGACAAAACAAAACCAAAAAAAACUAAUACUAUCCAUACUCUCAACUUCCCUGAAAAUUGCAGAUGAACUCUGGGGCCUUCCAGAGUUGGGAUCCACAGCCUCUUUCUUUCCACACAGGCAGGUGCUUUACCCGCCUGUGAACACAAAACGCCCCAGGGGCACAGCUCUAAAGAGAAAGUGUCCAGGUGCCGCCUUCAGCAUUAAGAUGUGCACAUACCACGUGGACGCGCCUCGCACAGCCUCCUCUCCCCAGCCUCGAAACCCAGACGAUGUGAUACCAUGAGAGCUCUCUGGCUACAUCCCUUCUGUCAUGCCAAACGCUACCCACUCCACCCUCAGCUCCAAUGUGUGUAUCUUAUCUGAUGGGCAUGAGUUGCAAGACGGUCCCCAAACCGGGGGCUGGGCAUCAGGUUCUCAGCCAGCUUGCAGGUGUGGGGCAGGGAGCACACACGUUAUCAGCCGAGGUUUGCUGCAAGCCGUGUAGGCCAUCAAACACUCGCAGGGCCCAGAAAACUCUUAAAGGGCAGUUAGUGUGGCAGAUGGGGGAGACAAGACGGGAGGAGGGAAGAGGAACCACCUGCCUUUCCUCGCAAUCACAUUCUUACUCUGCUCAAAGUUACCCCCAGCCGGGUAGGUUGCUAAAACCGUUUUGGCUAAGCCAAAGGCCCGCAGUUGGCAGCUUGAAGGGCAGGGGAGCCCAGGCUCCAUGGACGACAAUGUAGGGCUUGGAGAAUUGACAGUGUCNNNNNNNNNNNNNNNNNNNNNNNNNNNNNNNNNNNNGGGAAAGGAGAAAGGGUGGUGCCUGGCUUCCUGCCUGAUCACACACCUCUGAAGCCACCCUCGGGCCAACAGACCAUUCUGCUCCCCAGCCCCAAAAACGUCGCUACUUCAGAUUUUGGUUUCCUGCUUUCCUUUCUAGCACAACUGGGAAUCUGGUGCAAAUCCACCUGGAGCCAAAAGGACAUCCCGUGUUCAUCUCGGGCUCCUUGGCCUCUCACCCAUAUCCCCGUCUAAGCCUAAAGCCAGGUCUUCCGGCUCUUUUACAAAAUCACAACAAAAUCCUCGACACUGGCUGUUUCCAUGGAUCAACCUGGUAACUACCCGCCCAGGCUCACCCUCUGGCUUUAAGUGUGUGGGGAAGAGAACCUACAGGCCUAGCAGACAGCCAUGGAAAUGCCACGUCUUUGCCACCCGCUGGGCUUUGAGCCCAAUGACCAGGAUGAAUGGGAGCCCAGUGAUUUGAAGAGAGGGAACACUCACACUUCGGGAGGGGUGGGGGGUAGGGGUGCCUUGUAAGUAGCUAAUGAAAGGUGUUAUAAAGGGGGCACAGUGUGUGCGGACCAGGAGUGGGAAAAGCCAUGUGCAGUGCGCCUGGGGAAGUGUGGCUCACUCUCCCCACCCCUGCUGCCUUUCCAGCAACUCCAUCCAACAAGUAUUUAUUGAGCACGACACUCCCCAUCUGCCCCGGCCCUCCCUCUGCAAAAACACUCAAAUCUGUUCAAGCUGCAGGGUGAGUUCCACUGCACUUGAACUGGAAACAUGAGGUGCCUACCUUUUAAAAAGGCAGGCACACAAUUUCCAGCAUGGGGCAGAAGGGGCUAAAGAGAUUUGAGAAAGUUAAGGGACACAGCUGACCAAACAAGGACACACCACGGCCACUUUCAACAGGGACGGGAGAGGAGACAGAAAAAAUUUCAUUUAACCUUAGGGAAAAUACACUGGCUAAUUUAUUAAAAAAAAAAAAAAAAAAAAA